RNAcentral lists this long non-coding RNA (594 nucleotides) under Elaeis guineensis (African oil palm). RNAcentral describes it as "long non-coding RNA (EGUI_LNC056531)". The record is from RNAcentral. Lineage: Eukaryota; Viridiplantae; Streptophyta; Magnoliopsida; Arecales; Arecaceae.
AAUAAUUCUACAACUAGUCUAGGCAUGCAGCAGAUCAAUCUUAUGAAUUAAUUAAAUUUUAUUUUUUAUUUUUUGAUCUGAAUAUAAUAUUUAUAAUAUCAAAAAAUUAGAGAAUAAAUUAGAUCUAAUUUAUAUUUUAAUCAUAUUAAAAUAUAAAACUUCAAGACUAUUCAUAGUUUAAACUAUUCCUAGUCUAGUCAUGCAUUUCAUACUUGUUAGAUCUACUAAGAUUUAAUUUUAAAUUUUUUGAUUUUAGAUCCAAUCACAUCUGAUGUGACAUUUGAAAUCCAUUAAUAUCAAAUAAAUAAAAAUAAAAAUCAGAUCUAAAAUAGAUCUGAAAUAGAACCAUCAACCUGGCUCUGAUACCAGUUGAAGGAAAAACUGGCUUCUUCCUUGUAGGAUCUUCCAGAUCUAAUGAGAUCUGGGGUAGAAUAUUUUAAAUAAAAAUUAUCUUACAAUAUUUUAAAUCUAAGAUCUAUUAGAUUUGAUUCUUAUUAUCUGAUAUUUAAUCUAAAAUUAAAUCUAAAACUUGAAGAUUAGUGAAAUACCUCUAGCGUAACUAGAUUAUCUUGUAGAUGAUCGCAACAAUGCCCG